RNAcentral lists this long non-coding RNA (1964 nucleotides) under Medicago truncatula (barrel medic). Its description in RNAcentral is "long non-coding RNA (MTRU_LNC005633)". Lineage: Eukaryota; Viridiplantae; Streptophyta; Magnoliopsida; Fabales; Fabaceae. The record is from RNAcentral.
UCUCUGUCCUUUAUGAUUUCUCAUCUGCUUCAAAACCUGUAGCAAUUCCAUAUCCACUCACUGUUAUUUCCUGCCACUAUAUUUUUCACUACAGAUUAAAAAGUUUACAUACACUUUUUGACACACCCCACGAAAUGUGGGAUUUUGCCCAAAAGUAAACUUAGUUUAUUUCUUUUACAAAAUAAACAUUAAUUAAUAAAAUAUAAUUAAUUAUUGCUAUUUUUACAUAUGGAUAAUAUAAAAUUGUCAGACUUUAUUUUGAUAAUUUUUACAUUACAAGCUGCAAUAUUUUUUAAUUUUUAACUAAAAUAUUGCAUUUCAAAAUUUAAAUCCUCAAAAUUGAGAUAACCGAUUGAUCUUAAUACAAAUAAAUGAAAGAAUUCAUGCUUAAUAAGUUUUCAACACAUUUACUAUUAUAGUGAUGGGUAAUACUAAUGGUAAUUUUGUGCACGGUUUGAUUUUUCUUUUUAGUGUUUUUUCCCCUCAUGCAAUCUAGUCUAGUGUUAAUCUUACCAUCUUUUAGAAUACUGAUAAUAUAUAGUAUUCUACAAGUGCCUUGUUAAGGACAUGUUUGCAACUUAAUUCUUAGAUUUUACGAUUAAUUUCUUGUCAUUAGAAGGAAGUGUCAAUUUUGGUUUAUGAGAACCAACAAAUGUUGAAUCAAGUGGAAGGGACUAGACUCUUAUGAAGUGAUAAAUCAAUAUUCAAAUUUCGGUAGAGAGAUAUUUACAUUUAAGGUGCUUGGAUCCGCUUUUCUUGAUCAAAUUUCAGUAAAAGUGUGUGGUUUCAUUGUGAAAUGAGAAGCUUACUCAGCUUCUACCUAAAUGUGAAAAUAAACUACUACGAAAAUGGCAAAAGCUAUGAAGCACAAACACUUAUCGAAUUAGACGUGUUCCGGUGUUGUACACAUGUUGUGUCAGACACUGACACAUAUAAUUACAUUUAAUUAUGUGAUUUUUUCAAAUUAUUAGCGGUGUCAACGUGUCAGUGUCAUGUCUGAUGUCUGUGUCCGUAUCCGUGCUUUGUGGGAUAAAAGUCACCGCUGAAUCAAACAUUUGCUUGGUGUCCAAACACCACUUGAGUAAAGUAGAUGGAACAUGUGAAAAAUAAUAUUAUUUCAGUCAUUAUUAUAGACAAAAUUUCACUUUUCACUAUUAUUAUAGAUUAAAUAUGUUAGUUAUUCACUAAAUUUAAUAGGUGAAUUUUUGUUUAUAAUAAAGAGAGUAUUGGUUAAUGAGAUUUCUUUUGACUCAUGAUAAAACUUUUGUAGAAGAAGAUUAUUGUACAAAUAUUGUAUGAGUAAUUAAUGAUUUUAGUCCUUGUGAAAAAUGUGACACUCGAUCCACUCACACUAAAAUCACUUAAAAUAUUAGUUUUUUCCAGGGGCUACCAAUUUGAGAUACCAUAAUCUCUUACAAAAAAAAUUGAAGACCCAAAACAAUUUCUAAUGCAAGAACUAAUGUGAUCUGAUUUUGUAUUUCUAUUUUUACAAUUGCUUUCCAAUGGCUAAACUUUAAUUUCACUUUUUUUCUUUCUUUCUCUGGUACGAAAAGAGGAUCAAAUCCCGAGCACAAUAGAGAUAGGAUUAAAGAGGAAAGAAAUCCCAGAGAUUCAGGAAAACUAUGAAGUGUCGGGAUUCUGAAGAGUGAUAAACUACUUGAGACUUGAGAGUGACUUGAAGAGACACUAAUUAGGAGAAUAUCUUUACAACAAGGAAAGCCUAACCUGCUUAGUUGACUUCCAACCUUUCUCAUUUCUUGAGUUUGCUUCAGGAAAGUUAUAGAUCGAGUUCCCUUAUGUUGCCGGAAAAGGUAGUUUUAAACAUGGAUUUCAUCAAGGUUUUUAUAAUGAUUAAUGAUACUUAGUUAAUAGCAAGGUUUUUAAGGCCCACAAACAAGGUUUCUUUUUUUGUUACACAAACAAGGUGUAUCAUCAUCCUUCAUACUUCCAAAGUUUGAAGGAAC